AUAAAAAGUGAAACCAUACAAACUUUUUUUUUUUAUUUAUAUUUGGAUCUGUGUCCGUGUGUACUUAUUGAUUCUGGUAAGACCUUUUAAUCUACAGGUUGAAAGUCGACUAUAAAUGAAUUUAAAAUAGAAGCAUCUGUUACUGUAAAAUUUCCAUAAAUUUAUGGUGAAAUAUUUCAAUUUUUAAAUAAUAUCAUUCGUGUAUUUAAAACUAUUAAUAGUUGGUACUCCAGAUCAUAAACAGCAAGCAAGACAUUUAGUAAAUAUAUAAAAAAAAAGAACACAAUUUAUUCAUUUACAUGAGCAUGACAAAAUGUUAAGCCUUUAUUAGUAUUGUGUAGGGAAAAGUACCAAAAUGGGGGUUGUAGGCAACUUUCCUUCCUGGUUUAUAAAAUUCCCUGGUGUGUGCAUAAUGGGGCUUUGAACAAUUGUAUAUUAUGUCCAUACACAAAGAUAUGUCACUGAAGGAUAUUAAAUCAAACAAGAAAGCUGCUUUGUUUUAUGUUUCACAUAUUUUUGGAUGUUCCUUCAGAUUUGAACACUAAUAGAUCCUAGACCAAUCCUGCAUGAAGUCAGGAGUUCAAAUCUGGGACUAUCAUUAACAUUGGAUGGCAGUCCAGGUCACA
Non-coding RNA from Biomphalaria pfeifferi, 626 nucleotides. NCBI's taxonomy places the organism in Eukaryota, Metazoa, Mollusca, Gastropoda, Planorbidae. The record is from the annotation of a GenBank genome assembly.